Molecule: transfer RNA, 58 nt
Filed under: Apaloderma vittatum (bar-tailed trogon)
Lineage: Eukaryota; Metazoa; Chordata; Aves; Trogoniformes; Trogonidae
Rfam family: tRNA
About the family: Transfer RNA (tRNA) molecules are approximately 80 nucleotides in length.
Source: Rfam by way of RNAcentral
UAGCUCAGUCAGUUGAGAGUGGCGCUGACAACGCCAAGGUGACGGGUUCAAUUCCUGU